UUGUACGAUAAAUUGUUUGUAUAAAAAUUUAAUAUGAAAUGUUACGAGAUGAGAACCACUGAGGGUACAAUAUCAGACCGGCUCCACCUAGCAUAGGGUGAACGGGUCGGAGGCCGUUGGUUCCUCAUAGAGUCGCUCUCUUCUUAUUAUUAUUACAGGAACGCGCGCGCAGCAGCGCGCACACGAGCGUCGUCGUCGUCGAACGCACGCACGCCCUGACGUACGCAUGCGCGAACAGAGCUCUGCUGAGGAGUAGGAGUUGGAGGAGAAGUAAAAGGAAGAAGAAGGGGGUUUGAGGGAUAGAAGGAAAAGUGGUAGGGAUGAAAACAGGUUGACUCUCUCUCUCUCUCUUUCUCACUCACUCACUCUCUCUUAUUCGUCCGCGCGCGCACGCGAGGCAUCGUGCUGACCAUGUCGAAGAGUGGGAGGCAAUAGUGCUCUGUUAAAUCGUCAUGGUGGGAGAAAAUCACAGCGCAAGAGGAGAAGGAGGAGGAGACGAAGUAGGUAGGGAAGAGAACAUCGAGGAUCUGUAACGAUACGUAGAAUAAAGAGGGUUAAAUCGUACGAUGCGUCAGGUUGGUGUAUAGAGGGCGAACAACAAAUACGUCUCCAAUCCAGAACCCGCAUGCUCGAUCGGAAGAUUACCACACCUACUGUUGGUGCAUGCGCGAUCACGCGCCUUUUACCUGUCAUCCGUGAGUAAUAAUCUUGUAAAGGUACGCUGCACCGCGUGUGGAUUAUAUAGAAGGCUGCUGAAGGGGGUGGGGUGGGGUAUAGUCCAGGAGAAGAACGAGGAGAAGGAGAAAGAAGACGAAGAAGAAGGAGAAGAAGAAGAAGAAGAAGAAGAAAGGAUCAACAACCUGCGGGCACUCCUCUCUCCUGGCUUGGAAGGUAGAAUUCUCCUCCGGCGAAAGCAAUGAACUAUGCUGACAACGGCAGAUCUAUCCGCGCCUUUACUCCGUACCUUUCCUAUGGCGUACACCGCACAUACCUAUAGACUAGGUAUUUCUACCAACCUUCCAUACCUAACGGUCGCACAAGAAACUUCAGCCAUUAUUGCGGUGAUUGCCGGUGGUACCUGUUAACGCGUAUCCACGCAGAUAUCCGUAGCUACUGCCACCACGAUCGGCAUCGGUGGAUAGACAAGGUUAAUGCCACUCAGAGAGAGGAUCGAAAGGAUCCAAGCUACGUAAUAUCCUAGUUUAUCGACCACACCCAAUCAAAGAAAUCGAGAUCAGGAGUUAUUUUUCUAUUCUUAAGAAACGAACGUUUUAUACUUAACGUAAGUAUUUCGAAAGAAUUAAAUCUAAAGGAAUGAUCGUUCAUUCGUUGUACUUAGUUAUAUUAUGAGAGAAUAAGCAUUAAUGUAGAAGAAAAUGUUUGAAUCUAAAAUAUACUUGAUACUUUGUUAGAUACGUAGUUUUAAUUAAUUAUACGGAUAAAAGUUGUAAUGAAGUAAAAUGAUUUUCUUUUC
This is a long non-coding RNA of Vespa velutina, 1474 nucleotides long. RefSeq lists it as uncharacterized. The record is from RefSeq and is a predicted model, not a curated record. NCBI's taxonomy places the organism in Eukaryota, Metazoa, Arthropoda, Insecta, Hymenoptera, Vespidae. The transcript has 2 exons.